UACAGAGGGCUCAAGCGUUGUUCGGAUUCAUUGGGCGUAAAGGGUGCGUAGGUGGCUUGGUCAGUCGGAUGUGAAAUCCCGGGGCUCAACCCCGGAACUGCAUUCGAUACUGCCGCGCUAGAGUACUGGAGAGGAGAUUGGAAUUUACGGUGUAGCAGUGAAAUGCGUAGAUAUCGUAAGGAACGCCGGUGGCGAAAGCGGCGUACUGGACCUCUUCUGACGCUGAGGCGCGAAAGCGUGGGGAGCAAACGGG
This 253-nucleotide ribosomal RNA is filed under the name uncultured bacterium. RNAcentral describes it as "partial 16S ribosomal RNA". It matches the Rfam family "Bacterial small subunit ribosomal RNA", at positions 524 to 776 of the family's 1533-position model. The record is from RNAcentral.